GGGGGCGUAUCUGGGUCUCGACAGGAUCAUGUUUGAUUUGAACUGCAGUGGGGUGGCUUCCUAAGAGCCGACAAAAAAAUAACUAACAACUCUAAGUUAGCAUUUGCUGCAUAGUUUCACGGUAAAGUGACGCAGCUGGUUCAUCUGUCCGGUCUCGGGACGGAAUGAAUUAUCACAAACAGAGAAUAAGCGCCGGCGCAUUCUUCGGUGUACCGGCGACGAAAACCUUACGAAGGCCCGUCCGCUUACCUCCGUUUGUCAAGGGACGGACGGUACAUUGACAAACUAAACUGUAGACGUUCAAAUGUGGAACUUUUCUUGGACAGGGGUUCGAUUCCCCUCGCCUCCACCA
RNAcentral lists this transfer-messenger RNA (352 nucleotides) under Erysipelotrichaceae. Its description in RNAcentral is "RUG11872 sp902773425 Standard tmRNA". It matches the Rfam family "transfer-messenger RNA". From Rfam's summary of the family: Bacterial tmRNA, also known as 10Sa RNA or SsrA, is named for its dual tRNA and mRNA-like properties. Its role is to liberate the mRNA from a stalled ribosome. To accomplish this part of the tmRNA is used as a reading frame that ends in a translation stop signal. Lineage: Bacteria; Bacillati; Bacillota; Erysipelotrichia; Erysipelotrichales. RNAcentral also lists the same sequence under 1 other name. The record is from RNAcentral.